RNAcentral lists this ribosomal RNA (253 nucleotides) under uncultured bacterium. Its description in RNAcentral is "partial 16S ribosomal RNA". It matches the Rfam family "Bacterial small subunit ribosomal RNA", at positions 524 to 776 of the family's 1533-position model. The record is from RNAcentral.
UACGUAGGGUGCGAGCGUUAAUCGGAAUUACUGGGCGUAAAGCGUGCGUAGGCGGUUCGUUAAGUCUGUCGUGAAAGCCCUGGGCUCAACCUGGGAAUGGCGAUGGAAACUAGCGAGCUAGAGUGCGGUAGAGGAUGGCGGAAUUCCCGGUGUAGCGGUGAAAUGCGUAGAUAUGACUCGGAAGGCCAACGGCGAAGGCAGGUUACUGGUACGCAACUGACGCUGAGGCACGAAAGCGUGGGGAGCAAACAGG